AGAGUUUGAUCCUGGCUCAGGAUGAACGCUGGCGGCGUGCCUAACACAUGCAAGUCGAGCGGUAUACAUUGGAAUGAAACUUCGGUCGAGUGAAGAUGUAGUGAAAGCGGCGGACGGGCGAGUAACGCGUAGGCAACCUACCUUAUGCAAAGGGAUAGCCUCGGGAAACUGGGAUUAAUACCUUAUAAUACUUUGGAGUCGCAUGACUCUAAAGUCAAAGAUUUAUCGGCAUAAGAUGGGCCUGCGUCUGAUUAGCUAGUUGGUAAGGUAACGGCUUACCAAGGCGACGAUCAGUAGCCGACCUGAGAGGGUGAUCGGCCACACUGGAACUGAGACACGGUCCAGACUCCUACGGGAGGCAGCAGUGGGGAAUAUUGCACAAUGGGCGAAAGCCUGAUGCAGCAACGCCGCGUGAGCGAUGAAGGCCUUCGGGUCGUAAAGCUCUGUCCUAAGGGAAGAAUAAAUGACGGUACCUUAGGAGGAAGCCCCGGCUAACUACGUGCCAGCAGCCGCGGUAAUACGGAGGAUGCAAGCGUUAUCCGGAUUCAUUGGGUUUAAAGGGUGCGCAGGUGGGAAAAUAAGUCAGUGGUGAAAUACUGCCGCUUAACGGUAGAAAGCCUUAGGAACUGUAAGUCUUGAGUGCAGGAGAGGAAAGCGGAAUUCCUAGUGUAGCGGUGAAAUGCGUAGAUAUUAGGAGGAACACCAGUGGCGAAGGCGACUUUCUGGACUGUAACUGACGCUGAGGCGCGAAAGCGUGGGGAGCAAACAGGAUUAGAUACCCUGGUAGUCCACGCCGUAAACGAUGAGUGCUAGGUGUAGAGGGUAUCGACCCCUUCUGUGCCGCAGCAAUAAGCACUCCGCCUGGGAGUACGGUCGCAAGACUGAAACUCAAAGGAAUUGACGGGGGCCCGCACAAGCAGCGGAGCAUGUGGUUUAAUUCGACGCAACGCGAAGAACCUUACCAGGACUUGACAUCCCGGUAAUCAUUGUCUGAAAGGAUGAGUUCCCUUCGGGGACGAGGAGACAGGUGGUGCAUGGUUGUCGUCAGCUCGUGUCGUGAGAUGUUGGGUUAAGUCCCGCAACGAGCGCAACCCUUGUCUUUAGUUGCCAGCACGUAAUGGUGGGCACUCUAGUGAGACUGCCGGAGACAAUUCGGAGGAAGGUGGGGAUGACGUCAAAUCAUCAUGCCCCUUAUGUUCUGGGCUACACACGUGCUACAAUGGCCGGUACAAAGGGCAGCAAAGCCGCAACAGCAAGCCAAUCCCUUAAAGCCGGUCUCAGUUCGGAUUGUAGGCUGAAACCCGCCUACAUGAAGUUGGAGUUGCUAGUAAUCGCGAAUCAGCAUGUCGCGGUGAAUACGUUCCCGGGCCUUGUACACACCGCCCGUCACACCCACCAUGGGAGUUAGAGGCACCCGAAGCCGGUGACUUAACCGUAAGGAGAGAGCCGUCGAAGGUGAAGCUAGCGACUGGGGUGAAGUCGUAACAAGGUAACC
RNAcentral lists this ribosomal RNA (1495 nucleotides) under uncultured bacterium. RNAcentral's name for it is "16S ribosomal RNA". It matches the Rfam family "Bacterial small subunit ribosomal RNA". The record is from RNAcentral.